CCACCUUGGAGGGGAGGAGACUUUGGAUUUCUCAGAGACAGUUGGACCCUCGCUGGGUGGGCCUGUGCCCGAGGCGCCUUGAGGACAACACAGAGAGCAACGUCCAGGCCUUCAAAUUUUGCCUGUGAUGCUAAUAAUUUUGACCUGAUUGACCAAAAUGAAAAAAGGCUUUGGAAGGCAAGAAUGUACUUGGCAGCAUGUGCAUGGCGUAGGAUCUAAAAACUGUGUCAAUACACGCGGUGAAGAAAACUUUGGAGUCAUUACAGCCACGUGGUAGCCUGGAAAUCAUGCAUUUUCAGCACCAUCCCGGGGAGGGAGGAGGACAAUGCGGCACAGAGCAGCCUGCCCAUGUUGAAGGUGGAAUCCCAGCUCACAGAGGAAAAUUCCCAGGAGUUAGUUGCCUCGUUCAAAGAUCUGAACAUCUUCUGGCGCUUGACACAUUUUGCUGGAUUGCUCUUCAGAAGGACCGCACCUCACGCGUUGCUACCAGCAAUGGGUGCCGGGUGUUUCCCAGCCUUGCACCAGUGGAUGGUCUCUUGGCUCGUGUUUUACCCCUGCUGAUUUAAAAGGUGUACCGUGGUCCCUUAGAGUUUUUAAGAUGUUUAUUUUGGGUAUAAGGC
RNAcentral lists this long non-coding RNA (620 nucleotides) under Equus caballus (horse). RNAcentral describes it as "lncRNA (ENSECAG00000052513.1)". Lineage: Eukaryota; Metazoa; Chordata; Mammalia; Perissodactyla; Equidae. The record is from RNAcentral.